This 253-nucleotide ribosomal RNA is filed under the name uncultured bacterium. Its description in RNAcentral is "partial 16S ribosomal RNA". It matches the Rfam family "Bacterial small subunit ribosomal RNA", at positions 524 to 776 of the family's 1533-position model. The record is from RNAcentral.
UACGUAGGGGGCAAGCGUUGUCCGGAUUUAUUGGGCGUAAAGAGCGUGUAGGCGGCCGUACAGGUCAGCUGUGAAAACUCGAGGCUCAACCUCGAGACGUCGGUUGAAACCGUACGGCUAGAGUCCGGAAGAGGAGAGUGGAAUUCCCGGUGUAGCGGUGAAAUGCGCAGAUAUCGGGAAGAACACCCGUGGCGAAGGCGGCUCUCUGGGACGGUACUGACGCUGAGGUGCGAAAGCGUGGGGAGCAAACAGG